Molecule: ribosomal RNA, 378 nt
Filed under: uncultured archaeon
Lineage: Archaea
Description: bacterial SSU rRNA
Rfam family: Archaeal small subunit ribosomal RNA
Source: RNAcentral
CCGACGGUGAGAGACGAAAGCUGGGGGAGCAAACCGGAUUAGAUACCCGGGUAGUCCCAGCUGUAAACGAUGCGCGUUAGGUGUAUCAGUGACCACGAGUCACUGAGGUGCCGAAGAGAAAUCGUGAAACGUGCCGCCUGGGAAGUACGGUCGCAAGGCUGAAACUUAAAGGAAUUGGCGGGGGAGCACCACAACAGGUGGAGCCCGCGGUUUAAUCGGACUCAACGCCGGAAAUCUCACCAGAUAAGACAGCUGAAUGAUAGUCGGGCUGAAGACUCUACUUGACUAGCUGAGAGGAGGUGCAUGGCUGUCGUCAGUUCGUACUGUGAAGCAUCCUGUUAAGUCAGGCAACGAGCGAGACCCACGCCAACAGUUGCU